GAUGAACGCUGGCGGCGUGCCUAAUACAUGCAAGUCGAACGAGGUGCUUUUGUAGCAAUACGAGAGUAUCCUAGUGGCGAACGGGUGAGUAACGCGUUGGUGACCUACCCCAAAGUGUGGGAUAACAGUCCGAAAGGAUUGCUAAUACCGCAUGUGGUCUUCGGAUUUAGAAACUGAUGACUAAAGGAGCAAUUCGCUUUGGGAGGGACCUGCGUCCCAUCAGCUAGUUGGUGAGGUAAUGGCUCACCAAGGCUACGACGGGUAGGGGACCUGAGAGGGUGACCCCCCACAAUGGAACUGAAACACGGUCCAUACACCUACGGGUGGCAGCAGUAGGGAAUAUUGCACAAUGGGCGAAAGCCUGAUGCAGCAACGCCGCGUGUGCGAUGAAGGCCUUCGGGUCGUAAAGCACUUUUCUGGGAGAUGAGCAAGGACAGUAUCUCAGGAAUAAGUCUCGGCUAACUACGUGCCAGCAGCCGCGGUAAU
This 486-nucleotide ribosomal RNA is filed under the name uncultured bacterium. Its description in RNAcentral is "bacterial SSU rRNA". It matches the Rfam family "Bacterial small subunit ribosomal RNA", at positions 28 to 524 of the family's 1533-position model. The record is from RNAcentral.